UAGAUGUUACCUAACAUAUGUGUAAAGCGAUAUUAUAUAGCGAUGAUUAAUCUACACAAAACUAGAACAUAAAUGAUAGUAUAAUUAUAUUUAUAAAUAUGUCAGUAAAUAAUAGCUCAUUUAAUAAUGUCUUGCAUAUAUCAAAAUCACGUGUUAAGCUACUUUAUACAUUCAAUACUGAUAUGCAAAAUGUAGAGAUGUUACAUAACUUAUCAUAUGUUUAGUUACAUGCAUACAGAUAUAGUUAUGUAAAUAUAUGUUUUGUAAAUUGCAGAAACAACAAAGUUCGUUAAACUAAUAAAUUUUAGAAGAUUUUAUUCAAAGUUUUUGUAUGAUUAAAGUGCAGCUUGAAUCUCGAUGCUAGUUAGUAGGAAUCAUGUUACAACCAAGCAUCAUUAAACCUUUUGCCGUUCAGGAUAUGCUUUUAUUUUUUGCAAAGUGACAAUUACAUUAAAGGUUUUCAUACAAGAAGCUCUUAUGCAAGAGACACUAUAUACUUACCGUAAGAGACACCAAAUACUUACCGUAAGAGACACCAAAUACUUACCGUAAGAGACACCAAAUACUUACCUUAAGAGACACCAAAUAUGAGAUUAGUGUAAGUAGUCUAAUUAAAAGUUUAUAAAAAUCCUGAUGUCAAUUAAAUUCGAAAAGAAUUCUUUUUUAAAUAAGGUAUGAAUAUUUUUAAAAAUUAUUUUAAUGAUAUUGUUUUAAUAUUUUCAGCUAAUUUUUAUUUAUUUAUGGCGUCGUUUAAAUACGUCUAUAAUAUUUUUUCUACAAAUUAACAAUGAUAUGAAAUUACCAUAUAUACAUAAAAAAAUGAUACAAAUUUACUAUAUACAUAAAAAAAAAAUGUUUAAAAUACUUUAAUUCAACAUUUUUAUCUUUGGUUGUUUAAAAUCAAUAAAUUUUCUUUUUUUAUUGCUAAGAUUAAUUGUAGACAAUUUUUAGUUUAGUUGUUGAGAAUCUUUAGUUGAACUGUAAGGAACCUUCAAUUUAACUGUAAGGAAUCUUUAAUUUAACUGUUGGGUGUCUUUAGUUUAGCUGUUGUGUUAAGAUACUUUAAAAAUCAAGAACUUUGAUCUCUAAAGCAUUUUAAACUCCGAAUUCAUUGAUUUUUAGAUUUUAUGUUAUUUUUCUAUUCAAAAUCUCUUUAAAAUAAAAAUUCUUAGUAAAAGAAAUUUAUGAUUUUAUGUUCGCUUAUAAAACACAGGCGAUGCUUAUAACAAGAUAGGUAAUGUUAAUAACAGAUCGUAUUUAAAACAUUUCAUAUUGAUUUGGUCCUUUUUAUUUUUCUUCAAACAAUAAUUACUUUUUUUUUAACUAAAAAACAAACUAGUAGUAAAAUAAACGUUCGUUUUUAAUCUAUUUAAGAAAAUAUUUUACAAACCAUUGAUUUUAAAAUCCCAUUUCAGUAUAAAAAAAACAAAAUGCAGUUUCUUUUCGCGGUCAUAAAGCUUAUUAAUUAUAAAUAAUUGACAGUUAUGAAUCUGGAAAAAUGAAUUUAGUUUUUUACACCUAUGCUAUUUGAAGAUAAAGUUUUGUUUAUUUCAAUGUGACAAUAAAUCUUUUUAGGUCUGGAAAAUGUUAAAGGAUAUUUUUUCUCGAAAAUAUAUUUUUACUAGUAUUUACAUUUUUUAUUUUUUUAUGAGAAUUAUUUUUUUGAUGAGAAUUUGUAGUUUUUUUUUUAAAUUAUUCAUUAAUUUAUUAUUUAAAACUUUUUUCAUUACGAAUAUAUUUUUUUUUUAAUUAAAAAAACUCACAUUUUUAAAACUACUUUGUUUUUCGAUACUUGAGAUAUAAAUUUAAUUAAAUUCGAUGAUCUAAAAAAUAGCACUUAUUAUUUGACAAGUAAAAAAAAAUUUUAUGCAUUUAAUCAGGGCCAAAUUAAGACAUUAACCAAUUAAGCCAUGACUUAUGACCCGGGGCUGAGAUGGGGUCACUGGCUAAUAAAGUUUAACAAACAUAAACAAGAAAGUAUAGAAAACUGAAGCUCAACUUUUUGGUUUACAAUUAUUUGAUAGAAUACUUACAUUUACAAACAUAAAUUCGAUGGUUUGUAAAAAUAUAAAUUUUUAAAAGAAUCUCAAAUGAAAUCGUUGACAAACAUUCGAAUGAAAGUUUACGUUUGUUAUCAUAGUAAAAUAAUUUACCAAAUACAAACAAAGCUUCGGGAAGAAUAUUCUAAUAAUGUUAACGUCAAACCUUUUACAAGCAUAUCAAUGUAGAAAAACUUAAUGCAUGUCAAUGUAGAAAAACUAAUAACAAUAAUGAUAACUUAUUGUUCUAGAGGGCGUUCAUUUUCUCACAUAAAGAAAAUAAAAUGCGAAUAGAGAACCACAAUUUUUCAAGAAUGGUUAUGUUCACUUAGCUUGCUGUGUAUUGAAUCGUAUGCGAUGAGAGAAAAAAAAUUUAACAACAUCGUCUGUGAUUUUGCAAGACAAAAAGCAAAGGCUUUACAAACGAAUUGAAAUUAUGCAGUUAAUUUUUUAUAUACUUUUUUAUUAAAAUAACUGAUUGAUUUAAAAUAA
This is a non-coding RNA of Hydra vulgaris (swiftwater hydra), 2531 nucleotides long. The record is from RefSeq and is a predicted model, not a curated record. NCBI's taxonomy places the organism in Eukaryota, Metazoa, Cnidaria, Hydrozoa, Anthoathecata, Hydridae.